AUCCUUGUCCUGCUCAUAAGCACGAGGAUCAGGUGUUCGCUGCCUUAUGUGGCAUGUGUCUCACUUAAAACUUGCUUACCACUUUACCCAUUUGGUA
RNAcentral lists this small nucleolar RNA (97 nucleotides) under Sorex araneus (European shrew). Its description in RNAcentral is "Small nucleolar RNA U13 (ENSSARG00000019330.1)". The record is from RNAcentral. Lineage: Eukaryota; Metazoa; Chordata; Mammalia; Eulipotyphla; Soricidae.